RNAcentral lists this ribosomal RNA (460 nucleotides) under uncultured bacterium. RNAcentral describes it as "partial 16S ribosomal RNA". It matches the Rfam family "Bacterial small subunit ribosomal RNA", at positions 338 to 795 of the family's 1533-position model. The record is from RNAcentral.
GCUACGGGUGGCAGCAGUGAGGAAUAUUGGUCAAUGGACGCAAGUCUGAACCAGCCAUGCCGCGUGCAGGAAGACUGCUCUAUGAGUUGUAAACUGCUUUUGUACGAGGGUAAACUCAGAUACGUGUAUCUUUCUGCACGUAUCUUACGAAUAAGGAUCGGCUAACUCCGUGCCAGCAGCCGCGGUAAUACGGAGGAUUCAAGCGUUAUCCGGAUUUAUUGGGUUUAAAGGGUGCGUAGGCGGUCGGAUAAGUCAGAUGUGAAAGCCCGAGGCUCAACCGUGGAAUUGCCUUUGAUACUGGUAGGCUAGAGAGUAGUUGCGGUAGGCGGAAUGCAUGGUGUAGCGGUGAAAUGCUUAGAGAUCAUACAGAACACCGAUUGCGAAGGCAGCUUACCAAGCUACGUCUGACGUUGAGGCACGAAAGCGUGGGGAGCAAACAGGAUUAGAUACCCCUGUAGUC